RNAcentral lists this ribosomal RNA (253 nucleotides) under uncultured bacterium. RNAcentral describes it as "partial 16S ribosomal RNA". It matches the Rfam family "Bacterial small subunit ribosomal RNA", at positions 524 to 776 of the family's 1533-position model. The record is from RNAcentral.
UACAGAGGUGGCAAGCGUUGUUCGGAAUUACUGGGCGUAAUGGGCGCGUAGGCGGCGCGGUAAGUCACUUGUGAAAUCUCUGAGCUUAACUCAGAACGGCCAAGUGAUACUGCAGUGCUAGAGUGCAGAAAGGGCAAUCGGAAUUCUUGGUGUAGCGGUGAAAUGCGUAGAUAUCAAGAGGAACACCUGAGGCGAAGGCGGGUUGCUAGGCUGACACUGACGCUGAGGCGCGAAAGCCAGGGGAGCAAACGGG